This 503-nucleotide ribosomal RNA is filed under the name Lysinibacillus fusiformis. RNAcentral describes it as "bacterial SSU rRNA". It matches the Rfam family "Bacterial small subunit ribosomal RNA", at positions 953 to 1455 of the family's 1533-position model. The record is from RNAcentral. Lineage: Bacteria; Bacillati; Bacillota; Bacilli; Caryophanales; Bacillaceae.
GAAGCAACGCGAAGAACCUUACCAGGUCUUGACAUCCCGUUGACCACUGUAGAGAUAUAGUUUCCCCUUCGGGGGCAACGGUGACAGGUGGUGCAUGGUUGUCGUCAGCUCGUGUCGUGAGAUGUUGGGUUAAGUCCCGCAACGAGCGCAACCCUUGAUCUUAGUUGCCAUCAUUUAGUUGGGCACUCUAAGGUGACUGCCGGUGACAAACCGGAGGAAGGUGGGGAUGACGUCAAAUCAUCAUGCCCCUUAUGACCUGGGCUACACACGUGCUACAAUGGACGAUACAAACGGUUGCCAACUCGCGAGAGGGAGCUAAUCCGAUAAAGUCGUUCUCAGUUCGGAUUGUAGGCUGCAACUCGCCUACAUGAAGCCGGAAUCGCUAGUAAUCGCGGAUCAGCAUGCCGCGGUGAAUACGUUCCCGGGCCUUGUACACACCGCCCGUCACACCACGAGAGUUUGUAACACCCGAAGUCGGUGAGGUAACCUUUUGGAGCCAGCCG